GUGAGGAAUUUUGGACAAUGGGCGCAAGCCUGAUCCAGCAAUGCCGCGUGUGUGAAGAAGGCCUUCGGGUUGUAAAGCACUUUUGGUAGGAAAGAAAUAGUGCGUGCUAAUACCAUGCGCGAAUGACGGUACCUGCAGAAUAAGCACCGGCUAACUACGUGCCAGCAGCCGCGGUAAGACGUAGGGUGCAAGCGUUAAUCGGAAUUACUGGGCGUAAAGCGUGCGCAGGCGGUUUUGUAAGACAGGUGUGAAAUCCCCGGGCUCAACCUGGGAACUGCACUUGUGACUGCAAGGCUAGAGUGUGUCAGAGGGAGGUGGAAUUCCGCGUGUAGCAGUGAAAUGCGUAGAGAUCUGGAGGAAUACCGAUGGCGAAGGCAGCCAUCUGGCCUAAUACUGACACUGAGGUGCGAAAGCAUGGGGAGCAAACAGGAUUAGAUACCCGGGUAGUCC
Molecule: ribosomal RNA, 450 nt
Filed under: uncultured bacterium
Lineage: Bacteria
Description: partial 16S ribosomal RNA
Rfam family: Bacterial small subunit ribosomal RNA
Source: RNAcentral